CGAGUGGCGAACGGGUGAGUAACACGUGGGUGAUCUGCCUUGCACUUCGGGAUAAGCUUGGGAAACUGGGUCUAAUACCGGAUAGGACAGCUGUUUAGUGUCAGUUGUGGAAAGUUUUUCGGUGCAAGAUGAGCUCGCGGCCUAUCAGCUUGUUGGUGGGGUAAUGGCCUACCAAGGCGUCGACGGGUAGCCGGCCUGAGAGGGUGGACGGCCACAUUGGGACUGAGAUACGGCCCAG
This 238-nucleotide ribosomal RNA is filed under the name uncultured Actinomycetales bacterium. Its description in RNAcentral is "partial 16S ribosomal RNA". It matches the Rfam family "Bacterial small subunit ribosomal RNA", at positions 92 to 334 of the family's 1533-position model. The record is from RNAcentral. Lineage: Bacteria; Bacillati; Actinomycetota; Actinomycetes; Actinomycetales.